RNAcentral lists this long non-coding RNA (211 nucleotides) under Homo sapiens (human). RNAcentral's name for it is "HSALNT0323828". The record is from RNAcentral. Lineage: Eukaryota; Metazoa; Chordata; Mammalia; Primates; Hominidae.
GAACCUGGGAGGUGGAGGUUGCAGUGAGCUGAAAUCAUGCCACUGCACUCUAGCCUGGGUGACACAGCAAGAUUCCAUCCGCCCCCCCCCCAAAAAAAAAAAAAAAAAAAAAGAGGUAUAACUUCUAGAUGGUAUGAAAUAGAAGGCAGGGGUGAGAAAAAUUAUCCAGGUAAAAUUUAUGUAACUUAAACUUUGGAGAGCCUUUUGAAAG